CUACUUCUUUUUUUUAAUCAUCUAUGAAUUCCACGUGACAGGAGAACAGGGCCUUAUUCAUUCACACGACUUCUGCUGUGCUGCAGGAGCCUUCCCGGGAGUCGCCGCAGGGAAGCGGCGAUGGACAGCUGUGGCAUGCACGUGUCACUUGGAUGACUGCUACAGCCUUUGGGAGUGGCAAGCUGUUGUUAUUCAGUUGUGGCAACCCAACACAAGCUGCACAUGUGUUUCUUGGAAAGAAGCAGGACUGGGGGUGUCUGGUUCUAUGCCUCUGGAAGAAGCAGUACAGAAGGAGUAGUCUGAAAGAAGUGGGGGAGAAAUACAGCCUUAAGCUACUUCUGUUCCAUCUGGAUACUUGGCUACUGUGAGAGAUACACCUCCCAGAGGUUUAUUAUAAUAAGUUCUGAGGUGUCAGGAAAAAUAUGGUAAAAGAAAUAGUUGCACCUCACCAAGCAAAACCAAGAGUGCCACAAGAGCCUUCAGGUACUUUGACUGGCCCAAAAGUCAAGUAGUACAUCACGGGCCACCGCCAGUACAUCGGCCCCUCCAGACCAGCCGCCGCCGGACCGGACCCGGAGGACGCCGCCGCCUGAACCGC
Molecule: long non-coding RNA, 598 nt
Filed under: Crocodylus porosus (Australian saltwater crocodile)
Lineage: Eukaryota; Metazoa; Chordata; Crocodylia; Crocodylidae
Description: lncRNA (ENSCPRG00005009631.1)
Source: RNAcentral